This 71-nucleotide transfer RNA is filed under the name Mycoplasmopsis agassizii. RNAcentral describes it as "Mycoplasma agassizii tRNA". It matches the Rfam family "tRNA". From Rfam's summary of the family: Transfer RNA (tRNA) molecules are approximately 80 nucleotides in length. Their secondary structure includes four short double-helical elements and three loops (D, anti-codon, and T loops). Further hydrogen bonds mediate the characteristic L-shaped molecular structure. tRNAs have two regions of fundamental functional importance: the anti-codon, which is responsible for specific mRNA codon recognition, and the 3' end, to which the tRNAs corresponding amino acid is attached (by aminoacyl-tRNA synthetases). tRNAs cope with the degeneracy of the genetic code in two manners: having more than one tRNA (with a specific anti-codon) for a particular amino acid; and 'wobble' base-pairing, i.e. permitting non-standard base-pairing at the 3rd anti-codon position. Lineage: Bacteria; Bacillati; Mycoplasmatota; Mycoplasmoidales; Metamycoplasmataceae. The record is from Rfam by way of RNAcentral.
GGAGGCUUAGUAUAACGGUAGUAUAACAGAUUCCAAACCUGCUGGUAUGGGUUCGAUUCCUGUAGCCUCUG